UCUCUCUCUCUCAUCUCCUCCACCCACUGCCCCCUCCCCCACCCUCUCUCUGCUCCUCCGCCCACUGCUCUCCCUCUCUCUCAUAUCCUAGCUCCUCUUCUCUGCCUCCCUCUCUCUCAUCUCCAAAUUUUUUUGGUUUAAUGGAGGACAGAGGAACUAGAUCUGUUUUCUCUCUCCUUCGACACCCACUUCCGGUCACCACCGUGACUCACCUCCACCAUCACCGACCUCCGACGAGUUUAACGCAUCCUCCUUGAGUCCCUGCAACAACCCACGCACCGACUCUGCUCACUUCCACCGUCAAGCACCGCCUCCCUCCACUCCAUCGGCAUAGCCGACCCGCGCAGACCGCCUCCCACUAGUCCAUCCUUCCCUCUUCUCUGUGCCGGCGUCUCUUCCCCCGCCUCUGCCGCCGCCCAGGAAAUUGGCCGGCACCGACAUGCUUCUGUUCUUUUCCCUUCACUUUUUGUUUUGUUUAACACUGUUCUGUUUUGUUUAACGCCGUGUCCGGAGGUGUGGUCACAUGAUUUCCAACAAUCCGAAGGGACCAAUCUGUCGCAUAUGAUCUUUUACCCAUAAAGACCAAAAAUAAUCAAUUGUAACCAGCUAAUUAAGAAGAAACAAUUCAUCCGUACAUGCUGGGAAUUGUAAGUUGCUAGCAGGUGCCAUGAUGAAUAAGCUGGAGUUAAUUGGUGCCAUUAAGAAGAAACAAUUCAUCCUUCUUAUUGUUGCUUACAUGCUUCUUCUAACAGGUGUAUUAAGAUUGCAAUUGUGCAUGACAUUGCAGAAGUGCAUACAAGGAAAUUUUGGAGGUUGAACCCCCUGAAUGGCUUCCUGACAGUUCGACUAGAGUUUGCAUGCAGUGCACUUCUCCUUUCACUGCCUUAACUCGUGGCACUAUGAGGAAAUGGCCAACCUCUUUAAGCACAUCUGCUACCUGGUGCACAAAGUUCCAGAGAUGAUUCCUCUAGAACAGAGUAGGAGCUUUGGGCAAUAAUCUCUUCAAAUGUACAAUUGGGAUGGUUGAAAGGCCCAACCUUGAUCGGAUUUUGUGGUUCAACUGUGAAAUAUGUACUUUUGAUUUUUUUAUUUAUGUAAUUUUGUGUGAAUAAUUUUGUGUGAAUUGUGGAUUUCUGUGAAAUGUAAAGAAUAUCUUGUUAUGAAUGUAAAGUUUUAAUAUUUUCGAUUGAGUUGUGGAUUUGUUCAUUUUAUUGUAAAUAUUUGUAGUA
Rosa chinensis is the source of this 1229-nucleotide long non-coding RNA. RefSeq lists it as uncharacterized. NCBI's taxonomy places the organism in Eukaryota, Viridiplantae, Streptophyta, Magnoliopsida, Rosales, Rosaceae. The transcript has 3 exons. The record is from RefSeq and is a predicted model, not a curated record.